AUGAGGUAAAACUUUAGCCACAUGCAGUUCAAGACCUGUAGCAGCAUAAGUAAAUGACAUUAGAUAAGAGUUAAAUAUAUUGGGCCAGUAUUGUGCAUUUAAGUUAAAUGUAUUUUCAAAAAAAAAUUUUACAGAACUUGUAGGCAACAAGAAUAAACCUAUUGUCAGUAUCCAAUAGCACAAGGGUCAGACUUAGUUGAUCCCAAUCAAAGUCAUUUUUCCCACAUAGCUAGGGCUGAGCAGAAUUCGGUUUAAACCGAAAAACCGAAAUAUUGGUUUAAACCGAAAUAGGGAAGAGUAGUUUUUAAUUUAAUUCGGUUCAAUCGGUUCGGU
Molecule: unclassified non-coding RNA, 333 nt
Filed under: Hevea brasiliensis (rubber tree)
Lineage: Eukaryota; Viridiplantae; Streptophyta; Magnoliopsida; Malpighiales; Euphorbiaceae
Source: RNAcentral